RNAcentral lists this ribosomal RNA (482 nucleotides) under uncultured bacterium. RNAcentral describes it as "partial 16S ribosomal RNA". It matches the Rfam family "Bacterial small subunit ribosomal RNA", at positions 29 to 523 of the family's 1533-position model. The record is from RNAcentral.
AAUGAACGUUGGCGGCGUGGAUUAGGCAUGCAAGUCGUGCGCGAAUCGUAGCAAUACGAGGAGAGCGGCGAAAGGGAGAGGAUAGCAUAGAUACCUACCCUCGGACCUGGGAUAGCUAUGGGAAACUAUAGGUAAUAUCAGAUAAUGUCUCCGGACCAAAGGUGUGAUUCCGUCCGGGGAGGGGUCUAUGUCCUAUUAGCUUGUUGGUGAGGUAACGGCUCACCAAGGCAAAGAUGGGUACGAGGCGUGAGAGCGUGUCCUCGCUCACUGGGACUGAGACACUGCCCAGACACCUACGGGUGGCUGCAGUCGAGAAUCUUCGGCAAUGGGCGCAAGCCUGACCGAGCGACGCCGCGUGUGGGAUGAAGGCCUUCGGGUUGUAAACCACUGUCAGUGCGGAGGAAAUAUAGUGGGGUUCUCCCCAUUAUCUGACCUAUGCGCAGAGGAAGGACGGGCUAAACUCGUGCCAGCAGCCGCCGUAA